RNAcentral lists this long non-coding RNA (540 nucleotides) under Homo sapiens (human). RNAcentral's name for it is "LNC_000306". The record is from RNAcentral. Lineage: Eukaryota; Metazoa; Chordata; Mammalia; Primates; Hominidae.
CUCUCCCUCUCCAACCACCUCCAGUCACCAAGACCUGUUGGUUCUCAGAAAGUUCUGUUGAAUCCAUUCUCUUCACUGAAGACUGCAGCAGCCUCCUGGCUGGUCUCCCUGCCUCCUCCUCGGAUUCCUUCACUCAGCAGCUAGAGCAACGCUUCAUCUGUGGCCCCUGCUAAAACACCUCCAGUGGCUCCCUGUCACUCUCAGGGCUCAGGCCCCAUCAUCAGCAUGGCUGGCAGGCACCACAGGACUGGCCAGUGAACCCCUCCUUCCUCAUUUCUCACCGCCCUCCCUGUUCCCUGAUUCCCUGCAACACACACAUUCUAUACUGAGCCAAGCAAAAGGCCUGCUGGCACCUCUGGCCUGACCGUACCCAGAGACUGGAUCACAUGCUCCUGCUCCAUGCCUGCCUCCCCAGCGGAAUGGAAGCAAUUCCUCCUUGGACCCUAUGAUAGGCUGCAGAGGGGCACGGCUCAGUGAGCAUUUGUUGAGUGCCUGACUGACUACCCUGCUGAAUGAAUAAGUGAAUGAAUGAAUGACCAC